GAUGAACGCUGGCGGCGUGCCUAAUACAUGCAAGUCGAGCGAACAGACGAGGAGCUUGCUCCUCUGACGUUAGCGGCGGACGGGUGAGUAACACGUGGAUAACCUACCUAUAAGACUGGGAUAACUUCGGGAAACCGGAGCUAAUACCGGAUAAUAUAUUGAACCGCAUGGUUCAAUAGUGAAAGACGGUUUUGCUGUCACUUAUAGAUGGAUCCGCGCCGCAUUAGCUAGUUGGUAAGGUAACGGCUUACCAAGGCAACGAUGCGUAGCCGACCUGAGAGGGUGAUCGGCCACACUGGAACUGAGACACGGUCCAGACUCCUACGGGAGGCAGCAGUAGGGAAUCUUCCGCAAUGGGCGAAAGCAUGACGGAGCAACGCCGCGUGAGUGAUGAAGGUCUUCGGAUCGUAAAACUCUGUUAUUAGGGAAGAACAAAUGUGUAAGUAACUAUGCGCAUCUUGACGGUACCUAAUCAGAAAGCCACGGCUAACUACGUG
Molecule: ribosomal RNA, 497 nt
Filed under: uncultured bacterium
Lineage: Bacteria
Description: partial 16S ribosomal RNA
Rfam family: Bacterial small subunit ribosomal RNA
Source: RNAcentral